This 642-nucleotide ribosomal RNA is filed under the name uncultured actinomycete. Its description in RNAcentral is "bacterial SSU rRNA". It matches the Rfam family "Bacterial small subunit ribosomal RNA", at positions 237 to 885 of the family's 1533-position model. Lineage: Bacteria; Bacillati; Actinomycetota; Actinomycetes; Actinomycetales. The record is from RNAcentral.
CCUAUUCAGCUUUGUUUGGUUGAGGUAAAGGCUCACCAAGGCGACGACGGGUAGCCGGCCUGAGAGGGUGACCGGCCACACUGGAACUGAGACACGGUCCAGACUCCUACGGGAGGCAGCAGUGGGGAAUAUUGCACAAUGGGCGCAAGCCUGAUGCAGCAACGCCGCGUGAGGGAUGAAGGCCUUCGGGUUGUAAACCUCUUUUAGCAGGGAAGAAGCGAAAGUGACGGUACCUGCAGAAAAAGCACCGGCUAACUACGUGCCAGCAGCCGCGGUAAUACGUAGGGUGCAAGCGUUGUCCGGAAUUAUUGGGCGUAAAGAGCUCGUAGGCGGUUCGUCGCGUCUGCUGUGAAAACUGGAAGCUCAACUUCCAGCCUGCAGUGGGUACGGGCAGACUAGAGUGCGGUAGGGGAGAACGGAAUUCCUGGUGUAGCGGUGGAAUGCGCAGAUAUCAGGAGGAACACCGAUGGCGAAGGCAGUUCUCUGGGCCGUUACUGACGCUGAGGAGCGAAAGCGUGGGGAGCGAACAGGAUUAGAUACCCUGGUAGUCCACGCCGUAAACGGUGGGUGCUAGCUGUGGGCCACAUUCCACGUGGUCCGUGACGAAGUUAACACAUUAAGCACCCCGCCUGGGGAGUACGG